RNAcentral lists this ribosomal RNA (414 nucleotides) under Streptomyces sp. MBT83. Its description in RNAcentral is "bacterial SSU rRNA". It matches the Rfam family "Bacterial small subunit ribosomal RNA", at positions 99 to 527 of the family's 1533-position model. The record is from RNAcentral. Lineage: Bacteria; Bacillati; Actinomycetota; Actinomycetes; Kitasatosporales; Streptomycetaceae.
GCGACGGGUGAGUACACGUGGGCAAUCUGCCCUGCACUCUGGGACAAGCCCUGGAAACGGGGUCUAAUACCGGAUAUGACCCUCGCAGGCAUCUGUGAGGGUGUAAAGCUCCGGCGGUGCAGGAUGAGCCCGCGGCCUAUCAGCUUGUUGGUGAGGUAACGGCUCACCAAGGCGACGACGGGUAGCCGGCCUGAGAGGGCGACCGGCCACACUGGGACUGAGACACGGCCCAGACUCCUACGGGAGGCAGCAGUGGGGAAUAUUGCACAAUGGGCGAAAGCCUGAUGCAGCGACGCCGCGUGAGGGAUGACGGCCUUCGGGUUGUAAACCUCUUUCAGCAGGGAAGAAGCGAAAGUGACGGUACCUGCAGAAGAAGCGCCGGCUAACUACGUGCCACAGCGGGGGGGAAAUACG